AUCUAAAGUGGCAGAAAAAUGCGUUAGGUUUAAGCCCUAAUAAUGAGGUAACCCUCCUUAGAUA
This 64-nucleotide transfer RNA is filed under the name Riftia pachyptila (tube worm). Its description in RNAcentral is "tRNA-Leu". The record is from RNAcentral. Lineage: Eukaryota; Metazoa; Annelida; Polychaeta; Sabellida; Siboglinidae.